CCUACGGGGGGCAGCAGUGGGGAAUAUUGGACAAUGGGGGGAACCCUGAUCCAGCCAUGCCGCGUGUGUGAAGAAGGCCCUCGGGUUGUAAAGCACUUUCAGUGAGGAAGAACGCCUGGUGGUUAAUACCCAUCAGGAAAGACAUCACUCACAGAAGAAGCACCGGCUAACUCCGUGCCAGCAGCCGCGGUAAUACGGAGGGUGCGUGCGUUAAUCGGAAUUACUGGGCGUAAAGCGCGCGUAGGUGGCUUGAUAAGCCGGUUGUGAAAGCCCCGGGCUCAACCUGGGAACGGCAUCCGGAACUGUCAAGCUAGAGUGCAGGAGAGGAAGGUAGAAUUCCCGGUGUAGCGGUGAAAUGCGUAGAGAUCGGGAGGAAUACCAGUGGCGAAGGCGGCCUUCUGGACUGACACUGACACUGAGGUGCGAAAGCGUGGGUAGCAAACAGGAUUAGAUACCCCAGUAGUC
RNAcentral lists this ribosomal RNA (465 nucleotides) under Vreelandella stevensii. Its description in RNAcentral is "partial 16S ribosomal RNA". It matches the Rfam family "Bacterial small subunit ribosomal RNA", at positions 338 to 795 of the family's 1533-position model. The record is from RNAcentral. Lineage: Bacteria; Pseudomonadati; Pseudomonadota; Gammaproteobacteria; Oceanospirillales; Halomonadaceae.